AGCAGCGUGGCUCAGUGGAAAGAGCCUGGGCUUGGGAGCCAGAGGUCAUGGGUUCGAAUCCCGGCUCUGCCA
Non-coding RNA from Ornithorhynchus anatinus (platypus), 72 nucleotides. The record is from Rfam. NCBI's taxonomy places the organism in Eukaryota, Metazoa, Chordata, Mammalia, Monotremata, Ornithorhynchidae.